GUGCUCCCUUUGGCAGCACAUGUACUAAAAUUGGAACGAUACAGAGAAGGUUAGCAUGGCCCCUGUGUAAGGAUGACACGCAAAUUCGUGAAGGAAGCUGGGCAUGG
Molecule: small nuclear RNA, 107 nt
Filed under: Suricata suricatta (meerkat)
Lineage: Eukaryota; Metazoa; Chordata; Mammalia; Carnivora; Herpestidae
Source: RNAcentral